RNAcentral lists this ribosomal RNA (454 nucleotides) under uncultured Streptococcus sp. Its description in RNAcentral is "partial 16S ribosomal RNA". The record is from RNAcentral. Lineage: Bacteria; Bacillati; Bacillota; Bacilli; Lactobacillales; Streptococcaceae.
CACGUAGUUAGCCGUCCCUUUCUGGUAAGAUACCGUCACAGUGUGAACUUUCCACUCUCACACUCGUUCUUCUCUUACAACAGAGCUUUACGAUCCGAAAACCUUCUUCACUCACGCGGCGUUGCUCGGUCAGACUUCCGUCCAUUGCCGAAGAUUCCCUACUGCUGCCUCCCGUAGGAGUCUGGGCCUGUCUCAGUCCCAGUGUGGCCGAUCACCCUCUCAGGUCGGCUAUGGUAUCGUCGCCUUGGUGAGCCGUUACCCCACCAACUAGCUAAUACAACGCAGGUCCAUCUGGUAGUGGUGCAAUUGCACCUUUUAAGCAAAUGUCAUGCAACAUCUACUGUUAUGCGGUAUUAGCUAUCGUUUCCAAUUACGUUACUCCCCCGCUACCAGGCUACGGUUACCUAACGUCGUUACCUCACCCGUUUCGACCAACUCACUCCAGUACGAACGC